AAAUUUUGAAAGUGUUUUCUGAAACAACCUGUAUAUAAUAGUGUUUCUCUUACAACGCCGAAUUUAUAUGGUUCUAUGUGGACCCAAGAUAUUAAACUUAUUUUUGGAAGUUGGCGGAGUGCUUCAAGCCUGCUUCACCUCCGUCGCGGUAGGCCCGGUAUUGCACUAUCUCCGGGAUCGGACCCCACAUU
Molecule: small nuclear RNA, 191 nt
Organism: Dermacentor silvarum
Lineage: Eukaryota; Metazoa; Arthropoda; Arachnida; Ixodida; Ixodidae
Product: U2 spliceosomal RNA
Exons: 1
Source: RefSeq, a predicted model, not a curated record